CAAAUAGAAUUGACGGGGCCCGCACAAGCGGUGGAGCAUGUGGUUUAAUUCGACGCAACGCGAAGAACCUUACCAGGGCUUGACAUCCCCUGACCGCGUAUGAAAGUACGUUUUCACCCUCGGGUGACAGGGAGACAGGUGGUGCAUGGUUGUCGUCAGCUCGUGUCGUGAGAUGUUGGGUUAAGUCCCGCAACGAGCGCAACCCCUACGUUUAGUUGCUAACGCGUGAAGGCGAGCACUCUAGACGAACUGCCGUUGACAAAACGGAGGAAGGUGGGGAUGACGUCAAAUCAUCAUGCCCCUUAUGUUCUGGGCUACACACGUGCUACAAUGGCCGGUACAGACGGACGCAAAGCCGCGAGGUGGAGCAAAUCCUAAAAAGCCGGUCUCAGUUCGGAUUGCAGGCUGCAAUUCGCCUGCAUGAAGUCGGAAUCGCUAGUAAUCGCAGGUCAGCAUACUGCGGUGAAUACGUUCCCGGGCCUU
This 483-nucleotide ribosomal RNA is filed under the name uncultured Bacillus sp. RNAcentral describes it as "bacterial SSU rRNA". It matches the Rfam family "Bacterial small subunit ribosomal RNA", at positions 903 to 1382 of the family's 1533-position model. The record is from RNAcentral. Lineage: Bacteria; Bacillati; Bacillota; Bacilli; Caryophanales; Bacillaceae.